RNAcentral lists this ribosomal RNA (809 nucleotides) under Spiralomyces americanus. RNAcentral's name for it is "partial large subunit ribosomal RNA". It matches the Rfam family "Eukaryotic large subunit ribosomal RNA", at positions 72 to 931 of the family's 3401-position model. Lineage: Eukaryota; Fungi; Ascomycota; Dothideomycetes; Asterinales. The record is from RNAcentral.
GGAUUGCCCCAGUAACGGCGAGUGAAGCGGCAACAGCUCAAAUUUGAAAUCUGGCGCAAGCCCGAGUUGUAAUUUGUAGAGGGUGCCUCGGGUGCGGUCCGGCCUAAGUUCCCUGGAACGGGACGUCAUAGAGGGUGAGAAUCCCGUAUGCGGCCGGGUGCCAACCCCGUGUGAGGCCCCUUCGACGAGUCGAGUUGUUUGGGAAUGCAGCUCUAAAUGGGAGGUAAAUUUCUUCUAAAGCUAAAUACCGGCCAGAGACCGAUAGCGCACAAGUAGAGUGAUCGAAAGAUGAAAAGCACUUUGGAAAGAGAGUUAAAAAGUACGUGAAAUUGUUGAAAGGGAAGCGCUUACGACCAGACUCGGCCGCGGGGGAUCGCCCCCCGCGGCCGGGCCAGCAUCGGUUCGGGCGGCCGGAGAAAGGCCCCGGGAACGUAGCACCCUCCGGGGUGUGUUAUAGCCCGGGGUGCAAUGCGGCCCGCCCGGACCGAGGACCGCGUUCGCUAGGAUGCUGGCGUAAUGGUUGUCAGCGGCCCGUCUUGAAACACGGACCAAGGAGUCUAACAUCUGUGCGAGUCUUAGGGUGUCAAACCCUCGGGCGCAAUGAAAGUGAACGGAGGUGGGAACCGCAAGGUGCACCAUCGACCGAUCCGGAAGUCUUCGGAUGGAUUUGAGUAAGAGCAUAGCUGUUGGGACCCGAAAGAUGGUGAACUAUGCGUGAAUAGGGUGAAGCCAGAGGAAACUCUGGUGGAGGCUCGCAGCGGUUCUGACGUGCAAAUCGAUCGUCAAAUUUGCGCAUAGGGGCGAAAGAC